GUAAAUGUUACAUUGUGUUUGCUUCUGUCUGCCUGUAUCCGUGCUUGAUAUAUUUCUUACUAAAAGGAUGAACAGAAGAUCUGCUAUGAAGGAGAUCUCUGAUCCCAAUGAAGACACAUAUACAGCUCUUGACCUCAAGUCCACG
Pimephales promelas (fathead minnow) is the source of this 145-nucleotide non-coding RNA. The record is from RefSeq and is a predicted model, not a curated record. NCBI's taxonomy places the organism in Eukaryota, Metazoa, Chordata, Actinopteri, Cypriniformes, Leuciscidae.